RNAcentral lists this long non-coding RNA (803 nucleotides) under Gallus gallus (chicken). Lineage: Eukaryota; Metazoa; Chordata; Aves; Galliformes; Phasianidae. The record is from RNAcentral.
CAGUGAAAACACUGUUUGAACCUGAACAGCUGUGCUUGUUAGGGCCAGUAGAGGUUCAAGAAACAUAUUCUGAGACAUUAAACCAGGCAGUUAAUAUGAAAGAACUUGGUAUAACCAGAUAGAGUGAUUGUAGUUCUGAAAUCUCAACAGUUUCUAGUUUUGAAAGACACUGGGAAGACAGAGACAAUUCAGUUUAAGUAGGCAUAGGUUUUGUUGGAUACCAGAAAUGGUUUCAAAGUUGUUUUCACAUUUUGAAGGUAUGAUAUGCAAAGCAAGAGAUAAGGGAGUCAAUACAGACUUCCUUUCAUGAAUCCAGCCCUAUAUCCUUAGUGGUAUCUUAUCCAUGCCAUUAGAUAGAUAUACAGUUCCCAAGCAUCACAGUAAGCAACAUCUUUCUUUAAAGCUUUUCUUGUUCUUUCCACUUUUCUUGCCAUUCUUGUCUUUGUUUUCAGACAUUUUCUUUGCUCUGAUUUCUCUCAUUAAAUCAAAGAAUACCUUAUCUACAUUUGCUCUAGUUUUGGCAGAGGUCUCUACAUACUGCACGCCCCACUCUUCUGCCUUACUUCUAGCCUCUUCUACAGGCACUUGUCGGCGCUCUUCCAAGUCAGAUUUGUUUCCUACUACCAGUAAAGGUAUUUUAUCUUCUUCAGCCUUCACACGCAGGAUCUGUUCCCGAAAUUCUGCUGUAGCUGUGAAGGAUUCAUGCUCUGUUAUUGAGAAGACUAGAAGAAAUCCCUCCCCACUGCGGAAAUAGUUAUCUCUGAUCGCUGCAUAAUCCUCCUGUCCUGCUGUGUCCAGAAUGU